Molecule: non-coding RNA, 156 nt
Filed under: Eubacteriales Family XIII. Incertae Sedis bacterium
Lineage: Bacteria; Bacillati; Bacillota; Clostridia; Peptostreptococcales; Anaerovoracaceae
Description: 6S RNA
Rfam family: 6S / SsrS RNA
About the family: E. coli 6S RNA was the first non coding RNA to be sequenced, but its function was unknown until recently. It consists of 184 nucleotides that fold into an extended hairpin structure with a large single-stranded internal bulge.
Source: RNAcentral
AAAAUCCUGAGGUGUUCGUUAAGGUUACAUAAUUUAUCUAACACUUUAAUUCACGGGAAUCCGCGUUUCUUGCGCGCCGUGGCGCGCGGAACAGGACAACCACUUAUCUUGGGGUAAGGUUGUGAAUUUGUGAUCUGACGGCACAUCGGGAUUUUU